GUUCCACUAAGCAAUCCUCGGGAGCUUCGACAUUUUUAUAAAUUUGAAGUCAACUGAAGUCAACUUUUGCUAUAGCGUUGAAUGAAUCAAUACUAUAAUAUGUCAUGAGGCAAAUGUUAUUGAAUUUUUUUAACCCGCAUUUUGGUCCCCUUCAGGAUUUAACCCCUUAUUCAAGGGGUACCAGACACCCCUUUACCCAUAAAAAAGGGGUAGUCCUUAAAAAAGGGUUCCACUGACUUGGCAGAAGUUUCGUCCAACAACCCUGGAAUACGGAGGGUGCUUUUCCUGGGAUUGGCUAGUGGCUCAACCUUAUUGGCCGGCAAGGAAUGGAAGCCAUUCUGCAUUUGUGGCUCUACGUUCAAAGUUGAAAGGGUGGCUCAGUCAGGCUGGGGCUGCCGUAGCCUCUGCUUCGGGGAGUAUCUUUGACUAAAUUGAUCAAUAGAAAAACAGCUCACUAGUUGGUAGUACUUAAAUUACCCUCAGAUAAAUAAUAUAAAUUUGACUUUUAAAUCGAGAGAAAGCACUGUUAGGAAUCUUAAAUCACAUCUUAGAGAUAUCUUUCUUGAAAAGGUGAAACACUAAUGAAUUUUUAUGUUUAUUAGUGCCUUGGAUUAUUUUCCAAUAUAAAAAAUAGUAUUAAAUCAUAAAUGAUAAUGUUUAAAAAACAUUAACAUUAACUAAUAGUCUUCUCCUCUGCUUUGAAAUCUUGAUAAUAUGGUGAUAAGAACUAUAAAUUAUUCAAAUUCUGUGCAUGUAUUGUUUUUCAAAUUUUUAUAUUAUUAAUAGUGCUUAUGUGUGCGAAGGAUACCAUUUCGUAAAAAAAGGGUUUGUGCUCCCCUGUGUCAAUGGACCACCACCCUUUCAUCCCUUUUUUUACCCUUUUUUCGUCCCCUUCUAAACCCCUUUAUUGGGGAAGCUGAACACAGUUUUUGAAAGGGGUACGUUUAUAAAAAGGGUUCCUAGUACAUGCCAAACUAUUGUCAAUCUAACGUUAUCACACAUUUUUAUAUAUUUUUAUAAAAAAAUCAGUUUGUCCUCUUGCAGUGGAAAGAAAUCGUUUUGUAGAAUAAGCAUUCUGGAAUAGAAUCCUUUAUUUUAAAUGUUAAUAUUAGUGUAACUAAAGUUCUGACAAUAAUUUUACACUGAUAGGGCGUCAACAAAUGCGUUUUAGCACAGAACUCCAGGAUCCCCUUCCGUUCCUUGGAGGUGGCUACAUCAGAUCCAAUGGGUGGAGCCUGCCUUCCCUACCAUUUUGCAUUUAUCAAACAGUAGGGCAAAGGGUAGACAGUCUUAGUAAAACCUUGAGGGUGAAAAGGUGCUUUUAAAAAAGUGAUUCAUAAUAUUAUAAAUGGUGUCAGCAAUAAAUUGAUAAGUUAUUUUGAUAUGAAUGUAUUCUUUUAUUUAAUGGAUAAUUUUAAAAACUCAUUUUAAUAGAAUCCCACUAUCAUGACAUAUUACAUAAUAUUUAAAAAAGUGUCCUUUUGGAAAAGUGAAAACCAGUCAUGUUGGAUAUCUCAUAUCAUGAAGGGUGGAAAACUCGAGAGUCUGUCGACAACAUCGUCGUCGUGGUCGUCGUUCCUCCUCGUUCUCGCACAACAGGAAGGGCUUGGUUGGAAUCCUGAGGAUUACGGAUACAACCGUGAUGCUCUAUUCAAACACGAAUGUCUGCAUCAGGGAGUGCUUGCAUAGUACUCUGUGCACAUUGUGCUUUGGAUGAUAGUGGGGCCACCAAAACGUAAGAGGAGCGUUAAACGAGCCAAUGAUGAUCCUGACUCCUUGACCCUAUCCAGGGCGAAAGUCCUUGCAUAUUCUGCUAGACGAGGCAGGUCUAUACGCCAGAAGCAGGUCAUAUAGGCCUUUACGCUGUAAUCAAGGAAAAUCUUCAAAUCUUUUUCCAAGGAGAACAUUUUGUAACAUGAAAUAGCGUCUGAAAUUCAUUAAUGGUUUUGUGAGUUCUCCAACUGGAUCUUCAUCUUCUUCCUCACCGCCAAAGUAUAAGUAGACUUUGAUUUACCAAGUGUAUUUACACAUAUUUUUCCAUACAAUAUCUCUCAAAAUUAGUCUCAGAUGAAAAGUCAACAUUUUAGGUAUAUUUUUUUUUCAGCAGCCAGUAAUUUCCUCCUUCGAUUUUCCAUUCCAAGAAGAAGGUCCAUCCACCCUCGUCCUGGGUUCUUCAUAUCCCCAGAGUAUAUGAAGGCUACGCCAUAUCUGCAUCGGUUAGAUCGACACGAAAACUGUUAUCGGUCAACUCGCUCAGCCAUAUCAGUGGAAACCCUUUAUGUGAAUACGGGCAGUAGCUUGGGGCGGCUUGUCACGGGGGAGGGUGAUUGAUCGCCAUCCACGACACCCUGGUUUCCCGUAGUGGAUGGAGAGGGUUGGAAACCCUUUCACGCUUUCACGAAUCAGACCCAGGAUCACGUUCAGCCUCCUUCCUAAGAAAAUCAAAUGGACAGCAAGACCAGGAGAAACGGCUCCAGGGAUCUUCUUAAUUCUACAAGAUCUGCCUGCGCAGGCCGUACGUCAGGACAGCAACGUAGGCAAGUGGCAAAUUGCUGGAGGGUUGUAAAAGCGACACAGAAGGGCUGAAGGGAAUGAGAAAAAGAAGCAUCCGUAUACUGCUGGACCAAACCAAAGUGGAUAUAGUAGAACCUAUAAGAUAGCCAAGCCAGGCCAGAACGAAGGAGCAGAGAGAACGAGUACAAGGAGGAUGGGAAGAUGUACAAGUACGUGGAUGAGAACAGG
Long non-coding RNA from Cephus cinctus (wheat stem sawfly), 2742 nucleotides. RefSeq lists it as uncharacterized. The transcript has 8 exons. The record is from RefSeq and is a predicted model, not a curated record. Lineage: Eukaryota; Metazoa; Arthropoda; Insecta; Hymenoptera; Cephidae.